RNAcentral lists this long non-coding RNA (348 nucleotides) under Physcomitrium patens. RNAcentral's name for it is "long non-coding RNA (PPAT_LNC014659)". The record is from RNAcentral. Lineage: Eukaryota; Viridiplantae; Streptophyta; Bryopsida; Funariales; Funariaceae.
UUAGAGUUCUUUUGUAAAUUGAAGAGGGAAAUUGGAGAGUAGACUUGAUAAGGUUUCUAUGAGCAUUAGUCUUUUUUGAUUUGGAUUUGUAAUGACUUUGUAAGAGCUUUACAAAAUCAAGGUUGUUUUGGAUGACUCGGAUCUUUGAAAAAUAAAAUAGGGUUGAUGUUUUGGGCAAAUUUGGAAGUUUUAUAUGAAAUCAAUGGGUGUAAUUUUUUGAAUUGGUGGAUAUAUUUAUGCUUGAUGUGUGUUGUAAAUUUAAACCUGAUUAAAUGGUUAAAUUAAAGGUUCUUGAUAUUUAAACGAGUCAAAAUUUUAAAAAUUAGAAUUUUAGAUCUAUUAAUGGUA